Molecule: ribosomal RNA, 473 nt
Filed under: uncultured bacterium
Lineage: Bacteria
Description: bacterial SSU rRNA
Rfam family: Bacterial small subunit ribosomal RNA
Source: RNAcentral
GACCCAGACUCCUACGGGAGGCAGCAGUGGGGAAUAUUGCCCAAUGGGCGCCAUCCUGAUGCAGCCCUGCCGCGUGUAUGAAGACGGCCUUCGGGUUUUCAAGUACUUUCAUCUGGGAGGAAGGUGUUGAGGUUAAUAACCUCAGCAAUUUACUUUACCCGCAUACUAAUCACCGGCUAACUCCGUGCCAGCAGCCGCGGUAAUACGGCUUUUGCAAGCGUUAAUCGGAAUUACUGGGCGUAAAGCGCACGCAGGCGGUCGGUCAAGUCGGAUGUGAAAUCCCCGGGCUCAACCUGGGAACUGCAUUCGAAACUGGCAGGCUGGAGUCUUGUAGAGGGGGGUAGAAUUCCAGGUGUAGCGGUGAAAUGCGUAGAGAUAGGGAGGAAUACCGGUGGCGAAGGCGGCCCCCUGGACAAAGACUGACGCUCAGGUGCGAAAGCGUGGGGAGCAAACAGGAUUAGAUACCCGUGUAC